RNAcentral lists this long non-coding RNA (7128 nucleotides) under Sus scrofa (pig). RNAcentral's name for it is "lncRNA (ENSSSCG00030067286.1)". The record is from RNAcentral. Lineage: Eukaryota; Metazoa; Chordata; Mammalia; Artiodactyla; Suidae.
GAAUAGCCUCGCAGUUCACAGGCGCUUGCUCAUCAAGUUGGCCUCACUUUCUUCUGGAGGCUUCUCGCGGUGUUAGCUCUGGCUUCUGGCUGCAUUUGAUUCUGUAACCACUUCCCAGAAUUUGAAAAUGUGUGUGUGUGUGUGUGUUUGAGGGGGAGAUGAGGAUGCGGCUGGGCUAAAACCGUCAGGCAUGUGAUGAAAUUCACUAACCUGUGUGUUCUCACCAGCCUUGGGAGGGUAAGCAGGCAGAAACCACAAUUAAAUGUGUGUAAAAUUUUCUGGGAAGUUCUAGAGAAUGGAUUUUUAUAAUCCAAGCCAUAUUUUAAAUGCUUCAAGUGGUGGGGAUGUGUUCGAUGUCCACAGUAAAUUAUUUAAUAAUCUAAAAAGGAAAUCUAAUUUCCUGCCUUCCCUCUUUCUCCUUUUCUCUCUCUGUCUAGUUUGUUUGUUUUUCAUAGGGCAAAGCUAUUUACAUGCUUUGUAGAAUUAUUUCUGUAAAGAAAAGGUUCUUUUGUCUAGCAGGCAAAACCGGAAAUAAAAUGAAGACCCCGUAGAUCAUGGGUGUAUUAAAACUUUACACGUUCAGUUUAGGUUUUUGACACUUGGUUCGUUUUACAAAGUUCACAAAGUGUGUUUGUAAAUCUAGUCCGCAUGUAUAACGGACCGAAAAACGUCAAUAGAAGGACAGAUUUUAGAACCGUUUGAAAGCCGUCCUCUCUAGGAAGUGCUUUUCCAGGCUCUCACACCCGAUGACACUGUUUUAACCGGCAGAGACUCCACAAGCUGAGGCUGCGUGUCCCUUCCCCAGGGGGUGGGGUGAACAUCAACCCAGAAAGGCACACACGGGGACAGUGGGACCCCCCAGGAGGGAGAAAUCAGAGAUAGGGACAUUGGGGGCGGGGGUUACAGAGUAAGCAGGAGCUGUUGACUUAAUCAUUUGUGUAUUCCCGACCUGAUUCCACAUAAAGCUUUAAAAUGAUUGACAGAUAUUCUGCAUGAAGGUAAAAUAAAGUCAGGGAGGAAAUAAGGUACAAGGAAAAGCAGGAGAAGAAACUAAAACAAAGCCAUGGGCAGGUUCGGGCCUAAAGCUGCUGCAGGUGAGUAACACGUUUGGCUCCAGACUCCUUGGUCCUAAGAACAGAACGGGGACACGAUCAGGUUGGCAGCUCUUAAUCAUCGUGUCCACGGAAUGAAAGCACAUCAGAUGCCCAGGAGACGCGCCACGUUCCUGGGGCCGAGGGCUGAGACGCAUUUCCCCACGACCCCUCCGCAAGGGUCUCUGAGUGGGCAGUGACAUGCUGUUCCAGUGUGGAUGCUUCUGAGGGGAGCAUGCCGGGCAGGAAACCGCGUUCUUGGCAGAGGGACCAGCGUGAACCCAGCUCCGUGUCUUUAUCAGGGUUCUUGGCAGGGAAGGGGUCUGCAGGCCAGUUCCCAUCAUGGUUCUUGGAGGGGGUGACCCAGUAUGGCAUCCGGGUACCUGUGGAUGCAGUCUGAGGGUGAAUGGCAUUGACGGGGGGACACAGGCAGACAAUGCUGGGGUGCGGAGACCUGCUUAGAGGUGGGACAAGGCCCUGGUCGGGGCUCCUCUGGCCCUGAAGUCAGAGGGUGGGAGACUCAGGAGGUGGAGCCUCAGUGGUGCAGGAAGCCCGAUUGGCUGGGCCGCCCCGGGCCUUGGCCCCCAGAGGCUGGCUGUCUUUAUAAAGACAUUGCAAGACUUUUUCUCGUAUGAAAUUUAAAAAAAAAAGCACAUACGCUGCAGGCUGUCAGGAAGCAAUGUGAGAAACCUGAGCUGCCCCACUGACAGAGCCUCAUAUUUUGGGGUUUUUGUCUGUUCUAUUUUUGAGGCUGGCAAACCGGUUUCCUGUUUGUUGCAAAAUGGGUGGUUGUCGCUGUCUGUGCCUGGCCUGGAGGGAGGCGCCUCCGCCAGCGGAGGCCCGUUUUCUCCCUCGAGUCAGUUCCCUUCUGUGCAGGGGCCAAAGAGGAACCCAGGAUGCCAGGGCAAGGAGCAGGGGCACCCUGCCAGCUGCUUCCCGGGGGUGCCCGGGGCGGGGGGGUCGAAGUCACCACCCUCGGCGGGGCAGUGCCCCUCUCUGGGAAGACGAGCUCCAUGUCACAAGAGGGGACAUUUCUUACCCAAAGGUCAAAUUAGAGGCUCAGUAAGACCCGAGAGCGGGUCUCAGAGGAAAGAGCCGUCUGUGGAGGGGCGGGCGGGGAAGAAGAGCGAAAGCCCGGCAUUAAUUAGUCACUCGUACUCGGAGGCUCAUCCUUUUCACAACCUUCGCACCUGCCUUCCUCAUCUCUCUCUGAGUUGUUACCCAGGAUUCCCAUUCCACAGACGAGGAGCCCGAGGCUCAGAAUCAUGCAGUGGCCUAGGGUUACUGUCUGCACAAGCGACGCCUGCCUUACUCCUGCGUUUGCUCCCCAGGGCUGGCCUCUCAGGAGCCGGGGGUCUGACAUGCCGUGAAUGCAAGUUCGGCGUCCCCCCCCCCCCACUGCUGCCCCCUCUUCUUAUGGAAGCUCCGAGAGGCAGAAAAGCUUGUAGAAACUCCCAGAGCGAGUUCGUAGCCGAAUCAGAAAGUGAGUUUGCGGUGUCUAGUUUACUGGUUUCCCAACUGUCUUAGAUGCUUUCUAGCCUGGCAGAGAAAUCAUGCCAGUCUGGCCUGGCGCAGAGUGGGAACACCUAGCCAGGCAACCCGGGCAAGCCGGCUGUGGGGCUAACGCUGGGGAACGUCGCCUCUGUCUCAGCGUGGCUGGGUGGUGACGGGGCUCGGGGUCCCAGGGCUCUGCUUUUCCCUGUCCCCGUGCGCUCCGUCCUCCACAUGCCAGAGCCUGUGACUCCUCACUGCCUCUUGGGUACCGAGGGACGGUGUCAGGUCUUAGUAGGUGUUCUCAGAUGCUUCGUUUUCCAGAUGAACCCAACCCAGAGCGAGACGCAGGGUAGGACAGAAGCGCAGGAAAACCCAUCCGCCUAGAUGGCAUCACCUCGCGGGGCCUUGAGAGGGAGGAACAGAGACCGGCCUCGGGGGGGAGAAUUACCUGCUGUGUGUGUUGCGGGGCUGGGCUCUCUGACAGUGUCCCCUCCUUUGCGGCCCCUUCCCACUUCCUCCACCCUGGAUAACGUCCCCUCUUCCUUCCAGGCUUAGAACCGAGGGGAGGAGGCGCGCGCCUCCCCCACGUCCUGACACGGGCUUUGGUUGCCCUGCUUCUCCCCUGACCUGCCUUUAUCGCACCUGCUUUAAGUUCUUUGUGACUUUCUUUCACUCCGCUUGGUAAUUGCGGCUCCUUGAGGGUGAAGAUGCGCUGACGGCAGUUUGCUCCCCCGCUGCCAUGGCUCAGGGGCUGAUAGUCUGGGAGGUGGGGAGGCAGGGUGGUUCGGCUGGUAGGUCAUUAAUGCCUUCCUUGGUCUCGGGCUGGCACGUUACCGCAGGGGUGAGGAAGGCGCGUCCCAGCUCAGGCCCUUCCUCCAUCUGUGGACCCAUCACCUCUCUGUAUAGGAGCAGUCUUGUCACUCGGGUUCCUGACACCUCACUGCUUUGCAGGUUUCGCGAAAGGGGCACCUGCCUUGCUUGUGCAUCUUCUCCCCCACGACCAGGCAUGUCUGUGUUCCCUCCUUCAUGCGGAGACUUCCUGCUGUUUUUGCAUCUAUGGCUGCCUAACAAACUCCCCUGAGACUCAGUAGCUCCGGACAGUAACUUAUUAUUUCUCACGGUUCUGGCCGGGCAGCUCUCUGCUGGGCUUGGCGGGGUUCGCUCCUGGAGCUGCAUUCAGCUCAUGGCAGGGCUGGGCUGGGAGCUCAAGGGAGCCUCCUCAGUCCCACACGCCUAGAGUCUCAGGGCAGGCGGUGCUCCUCCGUGUGGCUCUCGAUUUCCAGGAGGCCAGACCUGGCUUCUUCCCAGAGGGAUGGUCUCAGGGUUCCCAGGGUGUGAAGCCCAAGCUGCUGGGCUUCCGAAGGCCUAGGCCAGAACUGACGCAGCAUCGCUUCUGCCUCGGUCUUUGAGUUAAAGCAAAAUUCGAGACCAUCCGGAUUCGAGGGGAGGGGAAAUGGACCCACCCCGUGUUGAAAGGAGGGGGGAGUCCCGUUGCAAAGGUUCCGGGCCUGCUUAGCACUCCCUCCUGCUUCGUGUGCUUCGAAGAUAAAUUCCUCCUCUUGGAAACCUUUGUGAAAUGACUUCUCAGGCGGCCUUCUGAACAUGGCCUGGGCAAGUUCAGGGGUUGAUGCUCUGGCCCCACCUGCCCCCGAAGCUCUAGAGGAGGCUGCUUGUGGAGUGGAGCUGGGGCUGCUGCUUCUGAGGGACGUGGGCAUCUACCUUCUUGACUGACACGAGCAGCAUCUCAGGGCACGUGGCUCCUGCGCUGCAGGAAGGGCUUCCUCAGGGUCUGAGUCACCGUGGCGGGUAGCUCCUCAGGCAUCACUCAAAUCACGCUGAAUUUUCCCUGGAGUCCCUUGAGCGUUAAUCCCCGAUGAAAAUAGAACAGGUUUUUUUUUUGUUUUUUUUUUUUGUUUUUUUUUUUGCCAUUUUCAACAUGUGUUGCUUUGACUAUAGAUGUUUUAAAAUUCUUCUACCUGGGUGUGGAGAGGUUAAGAUUUGGGGAGGGUUGCCUUUUUUCUAUUUUUAUGGCCACAUCUGUGGCAUAUGGAAGUUCCUGGGCUAGGAAUUGCAUCAGAGCUGCAGCUGCUGGCUCUUCCCAUGCCAUAACCAUAGCAACGCGGGAUCCAAGCCGCAUCUGCCACCUGUGCCACAGCGUAGAGACAUGCAGGAUCCUUCACCUGCUGACCAAGCCCAGGGAUCAAACCUGCGUCCUCAUGGAUACUAAUUGGGUUCUUAAUGCACCAAGCCACAAGGGGAACUCCCGAUUGUAAGCAACAGAACCUAAUUCUCACUACCUUUUUUAAAAAGAAGAAAAGUAUUAAAGGGGAAUGGGUGUCUCAUAGAACUGGUGAGAGGCUGAGGAGUUGGGUCUGAAGAGAGCAAGAAGCAAAACAAAGGAUCGGCAGGUUGUAAACACAUUUGUAGUCGAGGGUGGCGGGUUGCUAACAGGGAGCGGGCCGAGAGAGCUGCGGGAACAUCAAGGCCAGUAUGUCUGUGUUUAGCCUGGGGGAGCUGGGGACAUUUCGCAGAAUUGGCAGGGUCAACCUCAGAGGAUGGGUAGGGAAAAGCAUUUCAGGCUGGUGGAAUAGCAUAUGCAAAGGCACUGAAACUUGAAAUGAGAUGAUCUUGUUUAGGGACUCACAGGAAAAGUAUAAGAGGGAGGCAGAGAACGAGCCUGGAAUGGGAGGUGUACCCCCAGACGAUGGAAGGCCUUGAGUGACUGUUGAGGAGUUGGCAUUGAAUCCUAUAGGCUGAACUGAGUUUCUGGAACUGUAGUGGCCAGAGAGAUGCUAGUAGAUGCCCCUCGAAUAAAGGAUUCCUCCAGCAUAAGUUUGGGAUGUGUCCAUUAUUAUGUAUUUCUCUCUUGGAUGAUCAUCAAGAUACUAAAGGCUCUGAGAAGUCCUGCAGUAAAGAAAACAUGGGAGGAGACCAGCUGGAAGGUGGAAGUGGUGCCUCAGGUGAGAGAGAUGCCGGGUGCGCUCCGUCCUUGAGCUGGAAAGGAGGACGUCCCCCCUCCCUCCCUCCCUCAGCCCUACAGGGUACUGCACAAGCAAAGCACGGUAACUCUCUAGAAAGUGGUGUGGACAGAAGAGGGGGCUUGGGUGUAAACCCACUAGGAAGGGAUAUAACUCAUGUGGAAAGUGAGCUCUCUGACAAAUGCUAUUUGUUUGCUUUGGAUAAGCUCAGUAUUUUGAGAUUUGUUUCUCUGACACACCCUCAGUUCCCUUUGGCUUUUGCUGAAAAUGAUACAUUUUUCCAGACUUGUGACUUUGGCUGCCAUGGUCGACCAUCUCUGCAUGCUUGGUUCUAGAAGUGCAAAAUAUUUCCUCUCCUUCUGAGUGGUUCUCUUUAAUUGCAUUCUUUUUUCUGUGUGUCUUUCUAGGGCCGCUCCUGUGGCAAAUGGAGGCUCCUAGGCUAGGGGGUCGAAUUGGAGCUGCAGCCACCGGCCGACAUCACAGCCACAGCAAUGGCAGAUCCGAGCCGUGUCUGUGACCUACACUACUGCUCCCGGCAAUGCCGAAUCCUUAACCCACUGAGGGAGGCCAGGGAUGGAACCUGUGACCUCAUAGAUGCUAAUCACAUUCGUUUCCUCUGAGCCACGAUGGGAACUCCUCUUUUAUUUUAAAUGGAAAGAGAUAUGGAAGUAAAAAGUCCUCUUUCUUCCUGCUCCUUGGAAGAAAGGAAGGGAAAAGUUCCCCAGAGGAAUGAAUCUUGGGUAGAAAGACAGAACUGAAGCCAGAGCUACUGAGAUGGUCACAGGGAGCUGGUGCUUUGCUUUGCUUACUCUGAGGACCAAACCCUGUCACCUGUGGGCUUCCAGUGCAGAUCGCGACAUUGCAGGAGAGGGACAGUGCAAAUGAGCAGAGGAGCUGGAGCUGAACGAGGACCUUGUGCUGGGCUGGGAGACGCUCGCCCAGUCCUGGGCUUUGGUUGUGGGUCCUCCAUGUGUACUCAGGAGUAUUCUGAGAGACCUCCGCUGCAGGAGGACAUGGGUAGGAGGAGUCCAGGUGACAAAGAAAGGGGCUCGUUUGAUGAUGACUGUCUUGCUGUGGCCACAUCCCUGUUCAAACCUGGUGGAAAAAACAGAGAGGAAGAUUUUGUCAUCAGUUUCACAACAUGGCUUCUGGAAGGAUCAGCAAAGGACAAGAAAGACAAUGGCAGCCAACACAUACUAAGUGGCAGCUCUGGUGUGCCAGGAAAUUGUGGCUGGUGUGCCACACAUGCUCGUUGUCCUCCAUGCAACCCUCCGAAGUGUUUAUUAAUAUUCACUGUAAGGAAGAGUGUGGGAGAUGCUGCUUUUUAAAUAGUUUUCUUUUAUUAACUAUAAAAUGACAGGAGUUCCCAUCACGGCUCAGUGGUUAACGAAUCCAACUAGGAACCAUGAGGUUGCGGGUUCAAUCCCUGGCCUCGCUCAGUGGGUUAAAGAUCCAGUGUUGCUGUAGCUGUGGCAUAGGCCAGCGGCUACAGCUCCUAUUAGACCCCUAGCCUGGGAACCUCCAUGUGCCAAGGGUGCGGCCCUAGAAAGGGCAAAAAGACAAAA